Molecule: long non-coding RNA, 352 nt
Organism: Arachis duranensis
Lineage: Eukaryota; Viridiplantae; Streptophyta; Magnoliopsida; Fabales; Fabaceae
Exons: 4
Source: RefSeq, a predicted model, not a curated record
GGGCUCCAAUCGCCGCAUCGUUUGCGGCCACGCGCUCAACACGUUGAGCUCUACCUUUCUAUCCGAACAAUUUCACUGGUUCAAGUUAGCUUCCGGAACUUGUGGGCUCAAGCUAUUGAGCAUAUGGGUAUGGUGUAGUUUAAUAGGGUGUUUAUGCAUUGGACUUGAAUUUGGAUUACUUGGAGCUUUGUUGGUGACAAGGCUUGCUUUGGGGCUGUUUGAUUGAGCUUGGAGGGGCUGUGAUUUUGUGUUGAGAGGCUGCCUUGGGUGAAUUAAGUGAUUGGCCAAGAUGCAGGUCGAGAGGCUCCUCGCUAGGCGUCUGGAUCUUGGAAAGCGAAGUAGUCCUUGGGUG